RNAcentral lists this ribosomal RNA (633 nucleotides) under uncultured archaeon. RNAcentral's name for it is "bacterial SSU rRNA". It matches the Rfam family "Archaeal small subunit ribosomal RNA", at positions 26 to 641 of the family's 1478-position model. The record is from RNAcentral.
ACUGCUAUCGGGGUGGGACUAAGACAUGCAAGUUGUGCGUCUCUAAGCCAUGGUAGAGACGCGGCAUACGGCUCAGUAACACGUGGCUAACCUACCCUUAGACGGGGACAACCCCGGGAAACUGGGGCUAAUAUCCGAUAGGUUAGAGGCCUGGAAUGGUUCCUAGUCGAAAAGGCGUUGGAACCAUGCUUUUCGACGUCGCCUAAGGAUGGGGCCGCGUCCGAUCAGUUGUUGGUGGGGCAACGGCUCACCAAGCCUAUAACCGGUACGGGCCGUGGGAGCGGGAGCCCGGAAUGGGCACUGAGACAAGGGCCCAGCCCUACGGGGCGCACAGUCGCGAAAACUCCGCAAUGCGCGAAAGCGUGACGGGGCUACCCCGAGUGCCGUCCGCUGAGGAUGGCUUUUUCCCAGUGUAAUGAGCUGGGGGAAUAACGGAGAGGGCAAGUCUGGUGUCAGCCGCCGCGGUAAUACCAGCUCUCCGAGUGGUAGGGAUGAUUAUUGGGCUUAAAGCGUCCGUAGCCGGCCUUAGCAAGUCUCCUGUUAAAUUCAGCGACUUAAUCGUUGAGCCGCGGGAGAUACUACUAGCUAGAGGCGGGAGAGGUCGACGGUAUUCUCAGGUACGGGUGAAAUCCU